This is a ribosomal RNA of Scophthalmus maximus (turbot), 119 nucleotides long. The record is from Ensembl. NCBI's taxonomy places the organism in Eukaryota, Metazoa, Chordata, Actinopteri, Pleuronectiformes, Scophthalmidae.
GCUUAUGGCCACACCGCCUGGUUCACGGCUGAUCUCGUUUGAUCUCGGAAGCUAUUAUAGGUUGGGCCUGGUUAGUACUUUGAUGGGAGACCGCCUGGAAAUACCAGGUGUUGUAAGAU